Calypte anna (Anna's hummingbird) is the source of this 526-nucleotide long non-coding RNA. RefSeq lists it as uncharacterized. Lineage: Eukaryota; Metazoa; Chordata; Aves; Apodiformes; Trochilidae. The transcript has 3 exons. The record is from RefSeq and is a predicted model, not a curated record.
GGGAAUCCGUCCCAGUCCCCUUCACCCGCCUCCAGGCUGGCGGUUUCUGUUCCCUCCAAAAAUCCACCCGCCUCUUCAGACGACACCACGAGGGCAGGAACUGGCUCCCGGCUGCUUUCCAGGGCACCCGCCCUGCGGCCGAGGAGCCCCGCGGGGCCCGUACCCCGCCGGAGGCCUCCGCCCGGCAGCACGCCCUGAGGCGGCAGGCGUUGGCCUUUUCGGGAUUGGGGAGGGGGGGAGAGCGUGUGAGGGCCACGGAGAAAUAAUCUCACUUUCCGCUCAAACUCAAAAUUUACUGCUCCUGUCUUUCACCUGCACCACCUGGCCUCGUGAGGCCCUGGAAGGAUCUGGGACGGGGCCAGGCUGAAAUCCUGAGGCCCCACCUCGGCAUGUGGGUAAUGAAGAUUUACCUCAGCAGCUGUGACUCCACAUUGGGAAUAGAUGUUUGACUUUGUCAAGAUACAUCUUCAGAUCCUAUGAAUAAUUGAUGAAUGAAAGCAAGAAUGUUGUUAUUUCCACCUCUAUC